GAAAUGUAAACUAUUGUGGUCAUUUUACAUAAAUAUUUCAAAUUUAUUAUUUAAUUAUUUUAAAUCACAUAUUAACUGUUUUUCUCCGCAUUUCUGUAUAUUUGUUUAAUUUAAGAAGGUGAUAAAAGAUUCAGAAGAACUCCAUUCAUUAAAUGAUUUGUUACAUCAGGAAAAUGCCUAAGUAUAAGAGGAAAACCAUUUAAGCAAAGUACCUUCUGAAUCUUGAUUUGCUUCAUCAGACCCGUUAAAGCAGGGAUGAAGAUAAAAGAGGGCUUUACAGAACCAAAUUUGCCGACUCAGUACCAGUCCAGAAAUUCCUUCGCCUUAAAGAUUUCUUAGCUGCUGCUUUAUGGCAAUUUUCAGUCUCUUUGGAACACAAUAGUAACACAAGUGGACCUAAUAGUAAGUCAGGAAGAUUAUAGUUUUUAGUACCUUUUCUGCAACUAUACAUCAUUUCCUCGUCACUCUGUUUCAAAGGAUAAACUUAAAUAUUUCUCUUUUAAAAGUAUACCUGGAGAGACCUGCAGUUAAGCAGUUCUCAUUCUAUCUGAAGGAGAGCCAUAGAGAGCCUCCUCUCCAGAACAGUCUCGAGACAGAAACAAUCUUAACGAAAUAAAAAGUAUCAUGCACC
This is a long non-coding RNA of Cygnus olor (mute swan), 631 nucleotides long. RefSeq lists it as uncharacterized. The transcript is spliced from 3 exons. The record is from RefSeq and is a predicted model, not a curated record. Lineage: Eukaryota; Metazoa; Chordata; Aves; Anseriformes; Anatidae.